This is a non-coding RNA of Triticum urartu, 1663 nucleotides long. The record is from RefSeq and is a predicted model, not a curated record. Lineage: Eukaryota; Viridiplantae; Streptophyta; Magnoliopsida; Poales; Poaceae.
GGCUUAAUUUUGUUUAUGCCUUCUACAAGGAUGGCCUCAUACCCUACCUGCUUCCCCUCCUCACCUCCACCUCGUUGUGGUUCCUUGCUGAGAAAAAGAAUGACCGUGUACAGUUCCCGUUGGUCGCCUUGCUGCCUUGGGCGCGAGCUCAUCCACCAAGGGUGCUGGCAGCCGCCCAAGUGGAGCGUUGACAUCAGUAUAAGUAGAAUCGUGGGUUGCGGCCACCAUCUUCACCAAGCACUGCACAUCCGUCCAAGUCGAACCCACACACAGGGAGAACACACUAGCCCCUUUGCUUUGCACAUUGCUUGGUUAUGCAUGACUGCUGAUGGAUGCAGCAAGCGUUUAUAUUAGUUUGGUCUUGUGCAAGACUCAAUUUUGUCUCGGUUUUCAUGGAUGCUAGCUGGCAAUACGUCCAACAUUCUUGCGGCGAUAGCGGCCACCACUAAGGGCAUUUGCGUCCAGCACUCGAGCUACAUGCUCGACGGUCGCACACUGCCGCCAUGGGCAUGCACAAAGUUAUUAAGUAGAAGUUUGUUAGUUCAGUUUUUUAUUGAUUUACCUUGUUUAAGUAGUAGUGCAGCAAUAAAAGGUGUAGUUGUGCUAAAGUUUUAGUUGCUAUAUGAGGAACCCAGAGGCCAUUUAUUUUGGUUUUUAGUUCAGCUUGUCUGUUCUUUUCGGUCUGGAUACUUUAUUGCGCAUAAUCUUGAGGAAAUCCCCAAAAAUCAUAUGUCUCAUGUGAAUCUUGUUUAGUUCAUCAGUUCGUCGGAAAAAUAUAUCAUCUACAAAAAGAAUUGCAAUCUCGCAAUGUGAAGUAUGUUGUAGUCUAUACCUGUAGAGUGCAUUUUUGUAGUGCUGGUAUUUCUGGUGACUCUUUUGUGUUAGAAACAAUGGAUAUAUAUUUAUAUUUUGUAGUGUCGGUACUUGAGAACAAAAGGUUCAGUUUUCAAACUUUAAACAGUUCAUCGCAAGCUUUCGGUGUAGCAAGACGUGCGCCAAUGUGUGUGUGCACUUGAUGCAACUCUAUUGCAGUAUAUGAAGUUCAUGCAAUUUUCAUGCAUCAACAAAUCUGAUAGAGAGCACCAUUAUUUUCUGAAUUUUGUAUUUAAGAAAUAUCACCCUUUCUAUAUUUUGAACACUAGCUAGUGCUUUCCUUUCUUGUUAUAGUCAAAAAGUAGUACAUGUAUGUAGUUAUGGUGAUAGUGAUACUAACCAGACCAAGCUACUUCAAUUGUUUUACUAAGUUCUAGAAAUUCUCCAUAUACGGCAAGAGCCAACCAGACGUCUUUGUCUAGCCUGACUUGGGACGACUUCUUUGCAACUGCGGGUUAGAAAGUUCCACAUGUGAUUGGAAUUCAGUGCGAAAAACUGCUGGUGCGAGAAAUAUCUCUUGUGCACUAGUGGUUGGCUUUUCCCAGGAGUAAAUGUAGUCGGAUUCAGCAGCUAGCUCUUCCUCGAGCAACCAUUUGGAGAACUUUAUUGUCUUCUAGUGGUGGUGAUGUGGUGGUGAUUGAUUUUAGGAUCAGUAAAUUUGAUGUUGGUAGCUAGCUUGCGUAUGGAACCUGCAAGUUCAAUAUUGGUAUUAGAUUCAUUUUUUGUUGUAUAAUUGUCCCAGUGUUCACAUUUAUUUGGGUAAAAGUUUAUUUUAGUUCAGCUACAGAAA